This 504-nucleotide ribosomal RNA is filed under the name uncultured bacterium. RNAcentral describes it as "bacterial SSU rRNA". It matches the Rfam family "Bacterial small subunit ribosomal RNA", at positions 36 to 518 of the family's 1533-position model. The record is from RNAcentral.
CUGGCGGCGUGCUUAACACAUGCAAGUCGAACGCGAAAGGGACUUCGGUCCUGAGUAAAGUGGCGGCACGGGUGAGUAACGCGUAGAUAACCUGUCUUCAUGUCUGGAAUAAUACGCCGAAAGGGGUACUAAUACCGGAUAUUCUUGCUUUUCAUAAGCUAUGCAAGCAAAGGUGGCCUCUGCAUAUGCCACUGCAUGAAGAGGGGUCUGCGUACCAUUAGCUAGUAGGUGGGGUAAUGGCCUACCUAGGCGACGACGGUUAGCGGGUCUGAGAGGAUGAUCCGCCACACUGGCACUGGAACACGGGCCAGACUCCUACGGGAGGCAGCAGUGAGGAAUAUUGCGCAAUGGGGGAAACCCUGACGCAGCGACGCCGCGUGAGUGAGGAAAGGCCUUCGGGUCGUAAAGCUCUGUCAAGAGGAAAGAAGUGUACAAUGGCUAAUACCUGUUGUAUUUGACGGUACCUCUAAAGGAAGCACCGGCUAACUCCGUGCCAGCAGCUGC